Molecule: ribosomal RNA, 413 nt
Filed under: uncultured bacterium
Lineage: Bacteria
Description: bacterial SSU rRNA
Rfam family: Bacterial small subunit ribosomal RNA
Source: RNAcentral
AGCGAACGCUGGCGGCGUGCUUAACACAUGCAAGUCGAGCGAAGGUGUUUCAAGGGUAACCUUGAGAUACACUUAGCGGCGGACGGGUGAGUAAUACGUGGAUAACUUACCUCUAGGCCUGGGAUAACCCCGGGAAACUGGGGCUAAUACCUGAUAAGACCACAUUGUCUACGGACGAAGGGGUAAAAGGUGGCUGUGCAAACAGCUAUCGCCAAAAGAUAGGUUCACGUCCCAUCAGGCAGUUGGUGAGGUAAUGGCUCACCAAACCAAAGACGGGUAGCCGGCCUUGGCGGGUGAACGGCCACACGGGGACUGAGACACGGCCCCGACUCCUACGGGAGGCAGCAGUGGGGAAUAUUGGGCAAUGGGCGCAAGCCUGACCCAGCGACGUCGCGUUGGGGAAGAAGGCCUUC